UGUGUGCGUGAGUGAGCCCAAAGCAGAACGGGGCAAUGGGCCGGAAAAUAUUUUCCCACCGAGAAAAUCCAUGCUCAGGUUGAUCUCUUGGAAUGGUGACCUUACUAAACCUAUAGAGGUGACAUCUAGUGGAGAAAGGGACUCACAUUAACUCAAAUAUCUCUAAUGUCAUGGUAACGAUGGAGCUGGGGAAGCAGCAUCCGUACAGAGUGAACGCAGAUGAAGCUUUGCCACCAGAUUCGAGGGAAAACACUAUCAGGAAAUCCAGGCUAAGAGAUUCGGUGACUUGUCCAAGGUGACCCAGGAAAUAAGCAAUGCUUCUGAGAUUUGAAUCUGACCAUUCUCCAAUUGAUGGGUGUUUGUAUUCAGUUUCCAGUUCCUUGCCACUACAAAAAAGGCUGCUACAAAUA
Molecule: long non-coding RNA, 410 nt
Filed under: Sarcophilus harrisii (Tasmanian devil)
Lineage: Eukaryota; Metazoa; Chordata; Mammalia; Dasyuromorphia; Dasyuridae
Description: lncRNA (ENSSHAG00000026961.1)
Source: RNAcentral